Long non-coding RNA from Sapajus apella (tufted capuchin), 3163 nucleotides. RefSeq lists it as uncharacterized. Lineage: Eukaryota; Metazoa; Chordata; Mammalia; Primates; Cebidae. The transcript is spliced from 2 exons. The record is from RefSeq and is a predicted model, not a curated record.
GUUUCACCAUGUUGGUCUGGCUGGUCUCGAACUUCUGACAUCGUGAUCCACCCACCUUGGCCUCCCAAAGUACUGGGAUUACAGGCAUGAGCCACUGUGCCUGGCCUUAAUUCUUUAAUGUGUUCGUUAUCAGAAUUGUUUUAAAGUCUUGUUUGAUAAUUCCAAUAUCUGGGCCAACUCUGGACUGGUGUAUUGAUUGUUUCCUCUUUUUAUAAUGAGUCAUUUCUUCUUGCUUUUUUAUGUUGCUUAGUAUUUUUUUAUGUAAUGCCAAAUGUGUGUAAAGAGAAUGGAGCCUAUGUUAAAUAAUGUUUAUGUUCACAAAAACACAUGCCUCUUCUUUUGUCGUGGCAUUAGUAUACUUGCAUUGGGUAUGGCGUUUGCCUUUUAUUCCAUACUUGAACUAGAUCUGAUUCUUUUAAAAUUUAUAUUAAGUUCACUAUAGGACCCAGUGUAUUUUGAGAGCAAGAUUAGGAUCGUUGGUUUUGUAUGGUUUGUAGUUUCUGCUUAAUUCUCCUGAUACACCUUCAGAAUUCUACAUGCCUUGUUCACUUGUGCCUUUGCAGGGGUCUCUCUUAGAGCUGCUUUCUUUCUCCCAGACACAGCUUGCCCUUCCUGGUACUCAGUUUAAGGUUUAGAGUACUCAUGAGAUUUCUUUUUAUUCUACUUUGCACUCAGACUUUAUUUGUAUCUAUGGGCCUGUACUUCAGUGGGAGCCUUUCUCAUCUUUCCAGCCCUGCUUCUCUUGUCAUUUUCAUGAGCAAUUGAUGGACACCUGUGGAAAAUAGAUGGCAAGUGGAUGGGAUCCUCUUGUGUCUAGAGUUCUCAGUGAUUCUAAACUAUCAUGCAUCCCCCACUGGGUCUUUUAAUAUUUGUUAAAAGUACAGUUUUUUUCUUCUUAUCAACUUUCUUCUCAUACUACUCUGCCAAGAAUGAAAGCCACUAUUCAUUUUUUUCUCUUUCCUAUAAGAGACCUUUCACUUUUACAGGUUUUGUUCAUUGGAUUCCUUUAGGAACUCUGCUCUGAUGACUGUCAAAAAGCUUUGAUAGAUUACAUGUUUCAUUCUUGUUGCUACAAUGGGAUAGAAUUCUCUUGCAGUUUUGUACAUCUUAUGAGAAGAGGAACAUACACACACAGGUACAAAUCUUAUGAUUUAUUUAUACUAAAUUUGAUAAUUCCCCUAGAUAAAGUUGCCAGUAGUUCAUCUCUGCUCUGUCAUUACUUAAUCUCUGACUCCUCUCUUGCCUGUAUUCCUUACCCUUGUUUUUGAAGUAGUGAUUCUUCCUUUCUUUUAUUUUUGUUGGUUCCUUAACUGUUUAGCCAAAAUUAUCAAAAUAAUUCUUAAAAAUUAGAGUAGCAAGUAAUUUCUUAGGAGCUAUCCAAAUCUACACAUUUCUUUAGUAUAGAUGCUGAAUAGAAAAAUGAGUUUUAACAACUUAAAUUAGAUGUAAAUUAAUAUUUUUUUCUCAUUCAUUAGGUUAGGAAAAAACAGGAUACUUUUUCCUAAUAUAGCUUGAUAUUUUAUAGGACAGUCUCAUUGACUGCAAGCUUCCAUAGCUGUCAAGAAGCAUGUAUGUUUAAUUCUAAUACUGUGUAACUUUGGUCUCUCUUAUUUCAACUCUCAUUCUUCAGUGUAGGAUGUAACUGCAAAUGACAGUGGCACCCUGAUUUAACUAAUAGGUGAAGCCUGAGGGGAAUGUGGAUAAAUGAGCCAUUUGGGCAGUGAGGAGAGCAGUAAACUGCACUUUUCUCAUUAGUUAUCUCCCAGGCUAAAAUUAAACAGAAUAAAAUGUUGCCAAAUUUUAGUGAUCUAUGGUGGGUCUUGUCUGUGUCAAUUAAGUAUCAAACUAAUUGCCCAGACAUAUAUGGUAGAACUUGUGUGCUGUUUUUAAAGGUUGGUAUCUUGUAAAUUGAGUAUAUGAUGAAAAUAGCUCUCUAAAUGUGAAUGAACAUUAUCUCUAAAUUGUAAUUUCAACCAAAUUGGUAUUAAAUUAGUGGAUUACCCUCUUUUAUCAUCUAUAAUAUUCAUAAAUUUUAAGGUUGGCUGUAAGUCAUUAGGUCAUUUUUGGUAUAGUGUAAUUAUAUAGCUUACAUAGUUUGGUGAAGUUUUUUUAACUUCUUAAUUAUAGUAAAAUAAGAUCUUCAAGUUUAAUUUUCCAUUUGAAAAUAUUUACUAUUUUUUUUCAUUUCUCUGAAAUCUCAAAUGGUGUGCCAAUCAUAUAUUGAGAAUGUUUUUGAAAAUUCAUUGAACAGAGUUGUAGACACAUCUGAAAAGGUUUUUAUAAUAAUUUGUACAAUAUGGAGAAUAGCCGUAAUUUCUUAACAUACUUGUAUCUUGUCCAGUUUGCAUAUAUAUAAAUUUAUAUGUCAUUUUGUUUACCAUGUUUUUAUGAUAAUUAAAAAAUUCAUAGUAUAUAACAUGGCCUGUACUUAGAUGCAUAAUCUAAAAGAACAUAAUCCUGAGUUAUUUAAUAAACCAACUCAGUAUCUUCUUUCUUUACUAUUUUUUUUCAAUAUAACAUUAGGUACAUAUAAAAGUAUGUAACAAAUAUGUAAGUAUUGAAUUAAAAUUAUAUAAUGAAUAUCAUUUACUGUUGGCUGAGAAGUUGGUCAUCAAUUUAUUUGCCUUUAUAAAUUCUUUCCUCAAGUGAUCUAUCUUUUUGUUUUGAGAGAACUUUCCUGAUCUUCUCUUUAUCUUCACUUGUUUACAACUUUUUUUUCUCUUAGUGUAGAUAUAUUUUAAUUAUCCAGUUUGGAGUAUAUAGGGCCGCCUAGAUUUAAGGUUUAUUAUCUUUCAACAUUUCUGUAAAAUACUCAGCCAUUACCUUUUUUUUAAAACUAUUUUGCCUUUUGCCAUUUUCUAGUAUAUCUUCGGAGUCCAGUAAGAUGUAUGCUAGGUCUUCUCACUCAGACAUCUCUAUCUCUAACUUCAUUUUAAAAGUUUCAUUAUUUUUCAAUCUGGGGUUGCAUUCUAAAUUAUCUUGUUAUAUAUCUUCUAUUUCCUUAAUUCUCUCUUCAACUGCAUAUGGUUUAAAAAAAAAAUAAGUAAUGGCUGAGUAUUUUACAGAAAUGUUGAAAGAUAAAAAACCUUAAAUCUAGGAGGCCAAUAUACCCCAAACUGGAUAAUUAAAAUAAAUCUACACUAAGAAAAAAAAAAAUUGUAAA